This 590-nucleotide ribosomal RNA is filed under the name Protocruzia contrax. RNAcentral's name for it is "eukaryotic LSU rRNA". The stretch from base 171 to 325 matches the Rfam family "5.8S ribosomal RNA". The record is from RNAcentral. Lineage: Eukaryota; Ciliophora; Spirotrichea.
GUAGGUGAACCUGCGGAAGGAUCAUUCACACUAUGAUUUCACAAUCAAUACCUUGACUCUAUUGAGACAAAUCGGGUGCAAGUUUGGAAACAGAUUUGCACUUCUGAGAACCUCUUUUACUACUUCGUUUGAGUAGUAUUAUCUAGACCCAAUAUUUUUCAAAACUGAAAAAUUUUCAACGGCGGAUAUCUUGGUUCCCAUAACGAUGAAGAACGUAGCAAAGUACGAUAAGCAAUGCGAAUUGCAGAAUUCAGUGAAUCAUCAGAAAUUUGAACGCAAAUUGCACUUGAGGGAAAUGCCUUCAAGUAUGCUUGUUUCAGUGUCAGUUUACCAACUGUAAACAAUCAUAUUGUGAUUGAGUUCGCUCUUUCAUUAAAUGAGACUUCUUGCAAUGUAGCAGUCCUGCUUGCAACUGAUUCAGUGUACACAUUGAAUCCGGUUGUCAAACGGUGACACUCCAAAUGCAACAUUGCGGAGUGGAGAGAGUCGCAAGACGAUCUUCUUAAAUCGAGCACAAUGAGAGUUGUGUUUGCUUUUACUCUGUAUCUGAAAUCAAGUAAGAAUACCCGCUGAACUUAAGCAUAUCACUA